Molecule: long non-coding RNA, 857 nt
Organism: Ornithodoros turicata
Lineage: Eukaryota; Metazoa; Arthropoda; Arachnida; Ixodida; Argasidae
Exons: 4
Source: RefSeq, a predicted model, not a curated record
GCGAAGCGCGCAACAUCACGCCAUUUCAUUGCUACUACAUAGCAGGAGCCGGAUCUUCGCGCAUGGAUGUUACAGUGGUAACCGUGCCGCUACAGAUUGGGCCGUGACUGUAAUGGAUUGUUCUCACCACAGAACGUUGAAGAGCGCAUGAGUGAUUCUGGACGCAUUUCAAGAGUUCCGGCGGGACACAUGCAGUUUCACAAUCUGCUUGCCGUUGUAUCAGCUUUUCUGGGCGCUGCUUCUAUCGUUGUUGCUGCCCCAAUUCCAUAUCUGGCAGAACCGAUAGGAGCAAUGCCUGGUGCAGUCCUGCACAGUGUUGGGUCAUUCCUGGACCAGCUUAUGGGAAGCAUUUCGGGAAUUCCGAGUUACCUCUACAACGGCGCGUACAAUACUGGCGCUUACAAUAUUGCCGGGUAGUGCAAGACAACGUGCUGCACACAAUAGAGAGUAUUAGUACAUCGUACGCUAUCGCCUUUGCGUGCGUAAAGGGAUAGCGUUGAUGGUUCUGCGCACGCCCAUAACAGAAAGAGAGCUUCGCGCAGUGCCCAGAACCACCAACGCUAUCUCUUACGUACGCUAUAGCAUUUGCGUGCGGUCUACUAAAACUCUCUAAUGGCUGAAAGGGGAUGAAUAAAAUGUUCGAUGGUAUUAACAGCGUGUGCUGGAACAUGAAUAAACAUUUUGUCAUUCGCCGAUAGGGGACUACGCUGUGCACACUACUGCGUAUAAAUAAAUUCCAACUAGUUAUUUGUUUUACGUUUCAUGUCUAAAACUGCAAAAGUGUACAGCUAUAGCCUAUUUUUAUAUAUAGGCUAUAUACAGGGUGUCUUUUUUUAGGUGAUACAGAUUUUUCAUUA